CUGCCUCAGAUCCUGGAAAGUUAUUUAUUACAAAGUGAGAAAUUAGUUAAAAAUAAAGGAGGGAAAGUUUUUAGAUUUUGUGAUGAGAUCUUGGACAUGCUUUUUACACUGCUUGAAAUGGCAGUGUUGGCAGCUAAAAGUGAGGAUGGAGACCAGACAGUAAGGAGCUACAGAGCACAGGUGAAGAGCAUUAGGAAACGUAGUCAGGGACAGCAAAGGGAAGGGGAGAAUCCAGCUCAGCACUGGUUCCAAAGGCCUGUUUUGGCAGCUCCAACCUGUCCUGCCAGGUCCUCUGGGCCCAGCCCACGCUUCCUUCCCUGCAGCAAGGCUCCAGGCUUGUUCUCUAAUGCUGCCACCACCCUCUCUAUUCUUGGGGUUGAUCCUCUUUCCAAGCAACAAAGAAAGAAGAGUGGCUCCUUCUUUCUUUGAUGUACUUGAAGACAAACUCUUUUGAUUUCACAGGAUUUGUUGCUAAAGACUUGAGAAAACAAAUAAGACAAUUAUAAGCACAAAAAUAAUGAAAAUGGCAACAAAACUAACUAAAAUAUGGAGUAAAUUAUAAUUUCCAGUCUUAAAGAACUCAGAAUCACGAUCCAGACUCUAACAGCUUCUUUCUCAUUUUAUUUGUAAAGGUGAAGAUGACCAGACAACUUUCUUUCAGCUUUAAGUCAGCCUCCUCUCCCUCUUCAAAGCCCCUCUUCUAGGACAGAAGAGGCCAUCAGGGACUAACAAUAAAUGCCUCACACCCUCCAGCGGACAUCUGCAUUUCUGAACAUUCCAGACCAAGGUUAUACCAAAGAACAGCCCUCUUAGUGGCAUUUUAUUCUAUCAGGCCAAGAUAAAGUUUUCCUAAAACUGGCUUUUUAGUAAAAGUUCACAUGAUAAAUACACAUUCAUUAUACUAUUGUUAUCCUUAUGCUUUUGUGUGUAUUUGAAAUUUUCCAAAAUAAAAAAAAAUUUUUUUAAGUAACAGCUGGCUGGGCAUAAUGGCUCACACAUGUAAUCCCAGCACUUUGAGAGGCUGAGGCAGGAGGAUCACUU
RNAcentral lists this long non-coding RNA (1041 nucleotides) under Homo sapiens (human). RNAcentral's name for it is "HSALNT0138638". The record is from RNAcentral. Lineage: Eukaryota; Metazoa; Chordata; Mammalia; Primates; Hominidae.